Molecule: long non-coding RNA, 2050 nt
Organism: Passer domesticus (house sparrow)
Lineage: Eukaryota; Metazoa; Chordata; Aves; Passeriformes; Passeridae
Exons: 2
Source: RefSeq, a predicted model, not a curated record
GCCCAUGUGGGGCAGAGCUCAGGUUCCAGCAGCCUGAAUCUCCCCCAGCCUGGCUUUGCAAAUGGCCUGCCAUCACCUGCUGGGCUUGUAAAGCCUGCUACAAACAGGCACCUUAGAAACAGAGCUGACCUUAAGAAAGACCGGCUUUCAGGGAGAAAUUGAUUGAAGUGCGGAUUGGUAUGACAGCAAGUAUUAUUAGGAUUUUAGCACUGUUAAUUUUUUUAAGAAGGAAACUUAGUCAUUCAGAAGUAAAUGGCCAACAACAUGUGCUGUUACUGUAGAGAUGCUCUCAGGUUUAGAGCUGUGCAUCAGAGAAGUUUACAAUGAAGACCAUCAUCAGAAUACUCUGAGCACAAUAAGGACACCCUGUAAAUAAUGUGAAAGGUUGUGAAGAGUUGCACUUUUUUUCUCAGAGAGGGAUUUGCCUUUUUUCUAUUCCCUCUCUCCAAGCCCCCUUCUGAACACAGUACAAACCUCUUGGGCACAGUCCUGUGCCUCUUCUUCUCUUUCUCUUCCAUGGCUCAGCUUUGCUUUGUUUCCACCAAGGUGUUAUUUACAACAUUUAGGUUUAACCCUGGAGUGGCUUCAGUAAGAGACAAGGCCAUAAAAACAUUGCUCAACAUCUCAUGCAUCUGGGUCCCUCACUGGGUCACAGCUGUACAAGGAAAAAAGCUGCGUCCUGGAGGCAACCAAAUUCUUUUCAGCAAGACAAGUGCAGUCUUGGAGGCCUGUUGCUCUGCAGUGUAAUUUCUUUGGUGUAAACUGUCCUGGGUUUUCUAAGAGCUGUAAUCCUGUCAACUUCUUACAAAAAACUUGAGAUAACAGAAAAAUUUGUGACCUCUAAAACUAAGUGCCAUGCAUCCAUUUGGCACAGUAACUGCUACAGCCUUCACCAUGAGCAGAAAUGUCAACCAUACAGUAGCUGAGUAGCUGGUCUCAUAUUUAUUUCAGGUCAGCACUUGAUUGUGUGAUUGCCCCACCCUUUCUUGAAUUUAUCCCCUGCAAGGAAUGAAGCCUAUUAAUUAACUUAUUUCAGGGUGUCAGGACACCUGAUGGUUUGUAAAUCUAUCAGAAAGAUAAAAAAUGUCUUAUUCCUUGAAGAAAAAAAAAACAACAACAAGAAGGCAAUGAAAACUGCAAGAAAAAGAAAAAUUAAGGAAAACAUUAUUAAUCAAAUUAAAAUUCAGAAGAAUGAAUGAGUACAGGCUCUUCUGCAUGGGGUUGUUUUCUAUUUCAGUUUCUUCUUGCCCUUCAACAGAACCUCUUCCACAUCCCUCUUGUUAUUUAUUUGGGAAUAAGAUGCUUUAGUAUUGAACAUGCACUAGAAGAGCAUGCAGAGUCUACACAGGCUACAGCGUCUCCACAGUGUCUCCACAGGAAGGACUGGAUUUUUAGUUUGCUUUGCUUGUAGAGCUAUGGGCAAUCCUUUCAUUAGUAAGGUGCUCUGUGUCUCCAUUAGCCUUAGUAGGUACUGCAAACAAGCUGGGUCCCUUGUUGACUUUUUCAAAUUUCGUUUCUGUUUACUUUCUAUAGUGAGUCUAAUGCUGGCUAAAUCCCCAUGCACCCACUAGAAAUUAUUAACUCAUUUCCUGCUGUGAGAGAUGGAUUACGAGAAGGAGGGCAAAACAGGCUCAAAAUUUGAAAGAAUAUAAAGAAAACUUUAUUAACAGAAUUAAAAGAAAAAUUGUAAGAAAAUCAGAAUAACUUCAGAACACUUUUCCUCCCUCCACACCCUCUUUUCUUUCCCACUGACAACGUGAAGAGACAAAACUUGUGACUUUCAGUCAGUUUUCCACCUCUAAAACAGUUUUUCUUCAUUUCUCUUAGGGAGGGGAGUCUCUCUUGCAAUGCCAUGGAGACUUCACAGUAAACAAUUCUCUCCUGGCUUUUAAUUUCCAUGAACAGCAGCCGCCUGGAAAACUGCAAUUGUGAAGUCCCUCCCAUCUUUUCUGCAGCCUUCCCACAGCUGCAUUCAUGGGCCAUGUCAAUUUAUUGGGGUGCUAUUUUUAAGGAUGAGCUGUUCUAGCAUAAAAACAAAAGUUCUUUUAAU